ACGUAGGAGGCGAGCGUUAUCCGGAUUCACUGGGCGUAAAGCGUGCGCAGGCGGUCUUGCAAGACAGUGGUGAAAUCCCCGGGCUCAACCUGGGAACUGCCAUUGUGACUGCAAGGCUGGAGUACGGCAGAGGGGGAUGGAAUUCCGCGUGUAGCAGUGAAAUGCGUAGAGAUGUGGAGGAACACCGAUGGCGAAGGCAGCCCCCUGGGACAUGGCUGACGCUCAGGUACGAAAGCGUGGGGAGCAAACAG
This 251-nucleotide ribosomal RNA is filed under the name uncultured prokaryote. RNAcentral describes it as "partial 16S ribosomal RNA". It matches the Rfam family "Bacterial small subunit ribosomal RNA", at positions 525 to 775 of the family's 1533-position model. The record is from RNAcentral.